Non-coding RNA from Pelobates cultripes (western spadefoot toad), 463 nucleotides. NCBI's taxonomy places the organism in Eukaryota, Metazoa, Chordata, Amphibia, Anura, Pelobatidae. The record is from the annotation of a GenBank genome assembly.
GUUUAAACAUAAAGUUUUGAAUAAUACCAUAACCUGCUCUAAAGAAAUACUACCUACAAAACAUUUUGAAAUGAAAACCAUAUUUGUUAAUAAUAACAUCUUUCUGAAAACAAUAACUAGAAGUACAUUUUGGCUUCUCUGCAAAUUGAAAUUUUACAGGAACUUGAUGAAGGCAUCUGGAUAAAGUGAAGCCAAUAAAAUCCCUUAUAAAUCAGAUUAUACGUCAGCAUCCAGUAACAUUGUGGGAGGACAUGCGUACAUCAGGAAGUGAUCAAUGAUGGAAGGCUCUGAUAGACACAAGACUAUAUUUUUGAGAGAUGUAACUAUCUGGGGACUUCUGUCUCGGCUGACGCGUUUUAUACCCCACCUACUCUAGACUAUAAAAUUAUAGUAGAGUAGGGUCCUCUUCAACUUAUUGUUCCUGUAAGUUUUUGUAAUUGUCUCAUUUAUUGUUAAAUCUCCC